Molecule: long non-coding RNA, 537 nt
Organism: Galeopterus variegatus (Sunda flying lemur)
Lineage: Eukaryota; Metazoa; Chordata; Mammalia; Dermoptera; Cynocephalidae
Exons: 3
Source: RefSeq, a predicted model, not a curated record
AAGGUUGUGGCAGCCUGAUGGACAUUGAUCAGACGGGAAUUCCCGCUGGAGUGAGAUAAGGUUCCAGGGGUUCACCGUGCCAGUUUUACAACACAGGAUAAAUCCAUCCCCCUGGAACUCAGAGAGGUGAUGCUCAGGCAGGAUGUGGAAGGGCUCACCCGGGCCACACUCCUCUCCAGGAGUUGCAGUAAGGGAGCCUCUGAUCAGAAAGAGUCAGCUUUAAACAUCAGCUAGAUCCAGAGAGAAUGAAGCCAACUUACUAUGCAACCAGUAAAGAAUUUUCUGCUCCCUUCCCCCCUACUCCUUCCCUUCACUCUAACCGAAGACCUGAAGUCAAAAUUAGCAAGCUGAGGAAGAAGGCUGGGCAAAGAGAAGAAACCAAGCACAUCCAUUCCCUCAAAGGUGUUUUAUGAAUGGCACGUGAGUUAUUUCACAACAUGCUUCCAUACCAAUCCAUAUACAUUCCUGUAAAUGGAAAACAGGAUUAUUUAUGUUGAUGACAAUACCUAUGAUAAUAAAAAGAAAAUUAUUAUAAUA